RNAcentral lists this ribosomal RNA (268 nucleotides) under uncultured bacterium. RNAcentral's name for it is "partial 16S ribosomal RNA". It matches the Rfam family "Bacterial small subunit ribosomal RNA", at positions 28 to 294 of the family's 1533-position model. The record is from RNAcentral.
GAUGAACGCUAGCGGCAGGCUUAACACAUGCAAGUCGAGGGGUAACAGGGUAGCAAUACUGCUGACGACCGGCAAACGGGUGCGGAACACGUACACAAUCUGCCUUUGUCUGGGGGAUAGCCCGAAGAAAUUCGGAUUAACACCCCAUAUUAUAAUUAGGUGGCAUCACCUUGAUUAUUAAAACUACCGGUGGACAAAGAUGAGUGUGCGUCCCAUUAGCUAGUUGGUAGGGUAACGGCCACCAAGGCGACGAUGGGUAGCUGGUGUG